AGUUCGCUUCGCUCGUGUGCAGCAGAAAUCCUUUUGCGCCGGGGUUCGGCGCAGAAGAUUAGAGCGGAUAGCGGGAAAAGCU
RNAcentral lists this small RNA (82 nucleotides) under Flavobacterium johnsoniae. RNAcentral's name for it is "Flavo-1 RNA". The record is from RNAcentral. Lineage: Bacteria; Pseudomonadati; Bacteroidota; Flavobacteriia; Flavobacteriales; Flavobacteriaceae.